This 560-nucleotide unclassified non-coding RNA is filed under the name Bombus terrestris (buff-tailed bumblebee). Its description in RNAcentral is "misc RNA ENSBTSG00005024817.1". The record is from RNAcentral. Lineage: Eukaryota; Metazoa; Arthropoda; Insecta; Hymenoptera; Apidae.
ACUAAAUAAGGUGAAACAAUAGAACCGUAAAAAGGAAGCGGAAGUAAGAAAAAAUUGGAGAAACAACCGACGAAGAUGGGGCGAAAAAGAGGGGUUAAUGGACUUACGCGACAAUACUCUUCGAAAGGGGCCACCGUUCCAUAUCAGCUUGGUACUUCAUGUUCUCGAUCUGCUUCUUCAAUGCGUCCUUGUCCAUGUUAGCUAGUACACUGGGAUCCAUGGUUAUAGCCGCGCCUCCCUUUUGCCAGAUAAGAACCGAAUAGCGCUUGCGCCUCUACGAAAAAUCAAUAGAACCGACUAUGUAUGGGGACUCCUGUUAUUGGAACACCAAACCUACGUCACACACUGGCAACAGGAAAUUCGAUUCUGCGAGGAAAAGUGCACGAACUUUUCCCUCGUUGCGACCUCCGCGAGAUGACAAUGGAUCUUGUUCUGUUCCUCGUACACACGUGAUAUUCGAGCCAUCAUUAUACCGAAGACACUUGAUACUUUGAUGCAGCAGGAUUCAAGGACAUGGUCUUGGAUUUCUUGGAACUGCGUAAACAAAUGGUUUGUCAUAG